AGGACGAACGCUGGCGGCGUGCUUAACACAUGCAAGUCGAGCGGAAAGGCCCUUCGGGGUACUCGAGCGGCGAACGGGUGAGUAACACGUGAGCAACCUGCCCUUAGCUCUGGGAUAGCUCCGGGAAACCGGAAUUAAUACCGGAUACGACCUAGGCCGACAUCGGCCAUGGUGGAAAGUUUUUCGGCUAGGGAUGGACUCGCGGCCUAUCAGCUAGUUGGUGGGGUAAAGGCCUACCGAAGGCGACGACGGGUAG
This 256-nucleotide ribosomal RNA is filed under the name uncultured bacterium. RNAcentral's name for it is "partial small subunit ribosomal RNA". It matches the Rfam family "Bacterial small subunit ribosomal RNA", at positions 26 to 286 of the family's 1533-position model. The record is from RNAcentral.